Molecule: small nuclear RNA, 23 nt
Filed under: Arabidopsis thaliana (thale cress)
Lineage: Eukaryota; Viridiplantae; Streptophyta; Magnoliopsida; Brassicales; Brassicaceae
Description: snRNA_06238
Source: RNAcentral
AUGCGGGAUGAACCGGAAGCCGG